GAAAGAAUAUCGGAGACGGAUGGGCAUGCGGCGCAUUAGCUAGUUGGCGGGGUAACGGCCCACCAAGGCGACGAUGCGUAGGGGUUCUGAGAGGAAGGUCCCCCACACUGGUACUGAGACACGGACCAGACUCCUACGGGAGGCAGCAGUGAGGAAUAUUGGUCAAUGGGCGAGAGCCUGAACCAGCCAAGUCGCGUGAGGGAGUACUGCCCUAUGGGUUGUAAACCUCUUUUGUCGGGGAGCAAAAGCCGGACGUGUCCGGCUGUGAGAGUACCCGAAGAAAAAGCAUCGGCUAACUCCGUGCCAGCAGCCGCGGUAAUACGGAGGAUGCGAGCGUUAUCCGGAUUUAUUGGGUUUAAAGGGUGCGCAGGCGGAUUUUUAAGUCAGCGGUCAAAUCGUGGGGCUCAACCCCAUCCAGCCGUUGAAACUGGGGAUCUAGAGUGUGCGAGAGGUAUGCGGAAUGCGUGGUGUAGCGGUGAAAUGCAUAGAUAUCACGCAGAACCCCGAUUGCGAAGGCAGCAUACCGGUGCACAACUGACGCUCAGGCACGAAAGCGUGGGUAUCGAACAGGAUUAGAUACCCUGGUAGUCCACGCAGUAAACGAUGAAUGCUACCUGUUUGGCCUGAUUGAGGGCUGA
RNAcentral lists this ribosomal RNA (638 nucleotides) under uncultured bacterium. Its description in RNAcentral is "bacterial SSU rRNA". It matches the Rfam family "Bacterial small subunit ribosomal RNA", at positions 202 to 842 of the family's 1533-position model. The record is from RNAcentral.